CCUCACUUUCUCACUCAAACAACCAAAAACGACGUCGUAGCAAUAAAGUCGUUCAACUAAACGACCUCGUAGCAAUAAACGCGUUCAACUAAACGACCUAACAGCAAUAGCUAGAGGGGUACUCUAUUAUUCCACUAUACCAUCUGAUAGUAAGGGUUUAUGACGGUGGCGCACAACGGUCCUCUUUCCUACCACCAAUCAAACCGUUGUCAACCACGAACGGGGAUGCCAGUGUAUGGAUUCGCGUCACAUUCUAACUAAGCUCAAUGAUCCUCCGACGGGAUGAACAACAGUUGGAUGCUAAUAGAACCAAAUGAACAUCCGAAAAUCUCCGACGUAUGCAGUCGUGUUCUCCACCAGUUCAACCUUUGCGGUUCGUGUCCUAACGACAUCCUCCUUUCUAUAACCCUCUGUUCACCAUCAUCUGUUUAUUUUGAUGCUAAUAGUUGGGUUGCGGAAUGGGAUAAUCGGCGUCUAAAAGAGGGAAUCGACCAUUUCCAUGUCUCCGACGUAGGCGAUGACGACAUGUAGUCGUUUCCAUGUGACUGGAGGUGCGCUUCCUCCCUUGUCGGCUUUCUCUAUGUGAUUUGGACCAUUUGGUAGCUGUCGUGUGUGGUGAAAAAUGAAAUCAAAAGGAAACUGUACUUCUUUGUGAAUCACCCAGAUCUAGAAAUGGCAAUUUUGUAAAUAAAACCUUGAAUUUGGCCAAUGAUUAUACUGUUCAUAAGCAUCGACAAGAAUUGUUAUUAUAGAUAAUUAGUGGUGAUAUAAAUUAUUAAUUAAUUAGUAGUGAAUUAAGUAACGUAAGUGUGAUUGUAAAUGUGGAGUAGAAACGGUCACUGGUCCCAACAAACGAAACCGUCGCCAAAUAUGAAAGCUUCCAUGUCUAUGAUUCGAUAUACCGAUUAAAUAUUCCUCAAACACUUGAACCGGCUGAUGAAUGUUGGGAUCGCUACUUCAUUCCUCUCUCGUUAAUUAUGUCUGUGUUUGCUAAAAAAAAUGUCGCGCCACGCCACCAAGCAAUCACCGCCAACGCCGCCUGUAAUAUCGAACCGGUGUCACAGACCACCAAUCCUCUCUUCCACUCUCCGUUCUAGUCUGGAGACGCGCGGCGUAAAAUGGCAACACCGUCUUGUCUUUGGUCUCUGAUCUUGAUGCCAAGGUUGAUGGAUUAUGUGCUGAAAUCGGAUAGGAAGUCUAGAAACCCACCAAAUAAAAUCUGAGUUGUCGGAAUGGAACUUGUUUUUGAGACUGAAUAUUUGUAACGAUUGUUAUGCUUUAUUUGUUUAGUAGUAUGGGAUAUUGAACCUUAAAA
This is a long non-coding RNA of Helianthus annuus (common sunflower), 1315 nucleotides long. RefSeq lists it as uncharacterized. Lineage: Eukaryota; Viridiplantae; Streptophyta; Magnoliopsida; Asterales; Asteraceae. The transcript is spliced from 2 exons. The record is from RefSeq and is a predicted model, not a curated record.